UCUCAAAAUAUGAACAGUGACAUUGCAAAAUCUUCACCCUUGUCUAAGCAAAGCCUAGAAUUUGCCCUUUAUUUCUCUCUCACUCUCCUUAUUUCUCUCCAAUUGCUCCACCUGCAUGAGCCACACCCAAAAUUUCACCAAAUGGGGUGGCUACAAUCCCUCCUCUCUCCACUCAAGAAAAUGUGGCUCAGAUUGCAUUCCACUCAAAGGAAGAGAAGAGGGAUCUACAUUCUGUAUGAAGAUGUCAAAUCUUGCCCCUAUGAAGACGUGCACGUCCUCUGGUCUAUAUUAGUGGAAUCACAUCCACCUUGUUUGCCAUCCAAAAAAUGAAGACUCUGUCUAUGCACUGCAGAGUACAGAAGGACACACGUAAUGUACAUAAAAGUAUUUAAUGUCCAAGACCCAUACAGUAUUUUCUUUCUUUGUUUUUCUUUCCUUCUCCUUUCUUCUUUUAACUUUUGUAGCACCAAUAGAGAGUGAUUAUCCUCCUUGCGAUUUUUGUGUUCAAUAAAGCUCUCACUACGUGCAUAUUUAAAAACCUA
Prosopis cineraria is the source of this 542-nucleotide long non-coding RNA. RefSeq lists it as uncharacterized. The transcript is spliced from 2 exons. The record is from RefSeq and is a predicted model, not a curated record. Lineage: Eukaryota; Viridiplantae; Streptophyta; Magnoliopsida; Fabales; Fabaceae.